CAAUAGCGUAUAUUAAAGUUGUUGCGGUUAAAAAGCUCGUAGUUGGAUUUCUGCCGAGGACGACCGGUCCGCCCUCUGGGUGAGUAUCUGGCUCGGCCUGGGCAUCUUCUUGGAGAACGUAGCUGCACUUGACUGUGUGGUGCGGUAUCCAGGACUUUUACUUUGAGGAAAUUAGAGUGUUUCAAGCAGGCACACGCCUUGAAUACAUUAGCAUGGAAUAAUAAGAUAGGACCUCGGUUCUAUUUUGUUGGUUUCUAGAGCUGAGGUAAUGAUUAAUAGGGAUAGUUGGGGGCAUUCGUAUUUAACUGUCAGAGGUGAAAUUCUUGGAUUUGUUAAAGACGGGCUACUGCGAAAGCAUUUGCCAAGGAUGUUUUCAUUGA
RNAcentral lists this ribosomal RNA (380 nucleotides) under uncultured eukaryote. Its description in RNAcentral is "partial 18S ribosomal RNA". It matches the Rfam family "Eukaryotic small subunit ribosomal RNA", at positions 592 to 976 of the family's 1831-position model. The record is from RNAcentral.